GCUGGGCACAGUAGCAUGUACCUAUGGUCCCAGCUACUUGGGAACCUAAAGCGGGAGGAUUGCUUGAGCCCAAGGAGUCCUAGCUUGUAGUACACUAUGCUGAUUGGGUGUCCCCACUAAGUUCGAUAUCAAUAUGGUGACUUCCAGGGAGCUAGAAACCACCAGGUUGCCUAAAGAGAGGUGAACCAGCCCAGGUCAGAAACGGAGCAGGUCAAAACUCCCAGGAUGAUCAGUAGUGGGGUCAUGCCUGUGAAUAGUCACUGUACUCCAGCCUGGGCAACAUAGCGAGACCCCAUCUCA
Molecule: signal recognition particle RNA, 300 nt
Filed under: Microcebus murinus (gray mouse lemur)
Lineage: Eukaryota; Metazoa; Chordata; Mammalia; Primates; Cheirogaleidae
Description: Metazoan signal recognition particle RNA (ENSMICG00000045973.1)
Rfam family: Metazoan signal recognition particle RNA
About the family: The signal recognition particle (SRP) is a universally conserved ribonucleoprotein. It is involved in the co-translational targeting of proteins to membranes.
Source: RNAcentral